GUGAGGAUCAUGGUGAAUCGCAUGAAGGGUCAGAUGUCAGAGACAAAGACACCCAAGAACAUCUUGAAUCUGGUGGUAAAACAAUGGCAUCAGCAAUGUUUUUACUCACACCUGAAAUAGAUGAGGAAGUAAAAAAUUACAUUCGCAUGACUUCGUUUUUGGAACAUGCUCCAGAGGUUUUUAGGGAUGUAUUGACAAGAGAAUUACAGAAAGCAUAUCCAGGGGACUUUGACCCAUC
This 238-nucleotide unclassified non-coding RNA is filed under the name Lingula anatina. Its description in RNAcentral is "uncharacterized WD repeat-containing protein alr2800, transcript variant X2". The record is from RNAcentral. Lineage: Eukaryota; Metazoa; Brachiopoda; Lingulata; Lingulida; Lingulidae.